GAUGAACGCUGGCGGCGUGCCUAAUACAUGCAAGUCGAGCGAACAGACGAGGAGCUUGCCCCUCUGACGUUAGCGGCGGACGGGGGAGUAACACGUGGAUAACCUACCUAUAAGACUGGGAUAAAUUCGGGAAACCGGAGCUAAUACCGGAUAAUAUAUUGAACCGCAUGGUUCAAUAGUGAAAGACGGUUUUGCUGUCACUUAUAGAUGGAUCCGCGCCGCAUUAGCUAGUUGGUAAGGUAACGGCUUACCAAGGCGACGAUGCGUAGCCGACCUGAGAGGGUGAUCGGCCACACUGGAACUGAGACACGGUCCAGACUCCUACGGGAGGCAGCAGUAGGGAAUCUUGCGCAAUGGGCGAAAGCCUGACGGAGCAACGCCGCGUGAGUGAUGAAGGUCUUCGGAUCGUAAAACUCUGUUAUUGGGGAAGAACAAAUGUGUAAGUAACUAUGCACGUCUUGACGGUACCUGAUCAGAAAGCCACGGCUAACUACGUG
RNAcentral lists this ribosomal RNA (497 nucleotides) under uncultured bacterium. RNAcentral describes it as "partial 16S ribosomal RNA". It matches the Rfam family "Bacterial small subunit ribosomal RNA", at positions 28 to 507 of the family's 1533-position model. The record is from RNAcentral.